AAAAAGGACAGAAGAGAGGAGUGAAAAGGAACAGUGGGCCAUCAGGAGAGAAGCGAACAAGUAGUCAACUCUAAGGUUCAUGAAUAAUGAACUACUGUGCUACCCCCUGAAGAAGUAUAGGAUAAAGUAAAGAUAUUGGACAACCAUCAUCAUUCCAGGACUAUUAUCCUGAUAUUCAGAGAAGGUGUACAAUAUAGUGAUUCAACACUUCCACACAACAGCCGUUGCUUAUCACAAGUGCACUUCCUCACCCCCAUCACCAAAUACAGCCUAACUACUUUGACAAGCCUGCUUGACCAAUUAGAUGGUCAAUGGAAGCUUGAAGCCAACAUUCCUUGCACAGAUCAGCUUGUUCAAGAUGGAGACAUAGGAUGAUACAUGUGUGAUACAUACAUAUGAAUAAUGGCCCUGGGAAAUCUGUUAUGGAAUGUCUGGCGCCUGUUGCUUGCUUGCAAUCUCUUUUUGCUUUUGUACCUUAUUCUUUGCCUCUAAGUAAUAGUCUCACAUUUGUGUUCUCUGUAGAGUCUGAUUAAAUGCUUUCAAAUAUCCACAUUGUGAAAAAAUCUUUGCAACCUGACAAAGGGCAUAUAUGAAAAACUAACAAUUUAUACUUAAUGGUGAAAGACUGAAUGCUUUACCUCUAAGAUUAGGAGCAAAGCGAGGUGGUACAUUUUCAUUAUUUCUAUUCAAUAUUAUACUGGAGAUUCUAGCCUGUGCAUUCAGGUAGAAAAAGAAAAGGCAGUGAUCUUUGUAAAAAAAACCCUAGAAAAUCUAUGAAGAAAGCUAUCAGAACUAGUAAAUGAAUUUAAUGAAAUUGCAAGGAUAUAAGAUCAAUUUACAAAAUUAAUUAUAUUUCUAUUGCAUUAGUAGUGAACAACUGGAAAUUGAUAUUAUGAAAAUAAUGCCACUUUUAAUGAUAUCAAAUAUAUGAAAUAUUUAGGUAGAAAUUUGACAAAAGACAUGUGAGUUCUAUACACUGAAAAUUGGGAAACCUACCUGGGAUAAAAUAAAAAUCUGAAAAAUGGAGAAAUUUCUUAUAUUCAUAAUUUGAAUGACUCUGUAUUGUUAAGACAUCAUUUCUCUCCAAAUUCUUAUUUAGAUUCAAUGCAAUCUCAAUCAAAAUCUCAGUAGGCUUUAUUUUGGAAAUUAAAAAUUUGUUUCUAAAAUUUAUAUGAAAUUACAAGACAUGUAAUUUUCAAAAGACACUGUUACCAAAAAAAAAAAAAAAAAAAAAAAAAAAAGCAAGCAAAGGCCUGGGGAAAAUACUUGCAUUACCUAUAUCUGAGAACGAAAUUUUGUCUUGAAUAUAUAAAUAAUUAACCUAAUUCAAUAAUCAGAUAAUUAGACUAUAACACAAUUUAAAAUGGGUGAAAGAUUUUAACACUUUUGUUUUGAUUUUUACCUUUUUAUGUGGAUAAGUCCUGCAUAGCCUACAUUUCUUUGAGCUACCAGCACCCAUCACAGUUAGUAAAGAUGUUUUACAUGUGUCUAAAUCUAUUGAGGAAAAUUUAAAUGAAAUCUGCUGCCAUAAAAUUUGAAUUUUUUUCUAUAGUCUUUAUGAAAGUUAUUAAUGGAAUAAACUAAUGUGAAUAUUCAGACUACUGACUACAGUAGUUUAGCAAUAGUAUAACACUCUUCCUGUUCAAUUUUGGUGUCUUUUGUGUUUGGUAGUCUAGACAUAGCCUGUGUUUCUUAGACAUGUUUAUAAAUGGGUUGGAAAGGUGGUCUAAAUAAAGGCAUUACUGAAAUACAAAGCA
Molecule: long non-coding RNA, 1757 nt
Organism: Leopardus geoffroyi (Geoffroy's cat)
Lineage: Eukaryota; Metazoa; Chordata; Mammalia; Carnivora; Felidae
Exons: 4
Source: RefSeq, a predicted model, not a curated record